RNAcentral lists this ribosomal RNA (99 nucleotides) under vertebrate environmental sample. RNAcentral's name for it is "partial 12S ribosomal RNA". Lineage: Eukaryota; Metazoa; Chordata. The record is from RNAcentral.
UUAGCCCUAAACCUUAAUAAUUUGACAACAAAAUUAUUUGCCAGAGAACUACUAGCUAUAGCUUAAAACUCAAAGGACUUGGCGGUACUUUAUAUCCAU